This 451-nucleotide small RNA is filed under the name Pongo abelii (Sumatran orangutan). RNAcentral describes it as "processed transcript". The record is from RNAcentral. Lineage: Eukaryota; Metazoa; Chordata; Mammalia; Primates; Hominidae.
AAGGGGUUUGCCCAACGAGACUUCUCUGAAGCCCCAAAGUUUACCCAGCCUCUGGCCGACUGCACAACAGUCACCGGCUAUAAUACCCAGCUCUUCUGCUGUGUCCGCGCCUCUCCCCGGCCCAAGAUCAUCUGGCUGAAGAACAAGAUGGAUAUCCAAGGCAACCCUAAGUACAGAGCCCUGACUCACCUGGGAAUCUGCUCCCUAGAGAUCCGCAAGCCGGGUCCCUUUGAUGGAGGCAUCUAUACCUGCAAGGCGGUGAACCCCCUAGGGGAGGCAUCUGUGGACUGUCGGGUGGAUGUGAAAGUUCCUAAUUGAGGACACCUAAGAAGGCGUGGUACUCUGACAAAGUGCCUCCAGGAAGCCCGCCAGUGGUGAGACUGUGUCCUCAAGGAGCUUCGGCACCAUGUCUGGUUUGGAUUCAUCUAAAUAAAUAUGUGGUUCCCCAGUG